UACGUAGGCAGCAAGCGUUGUUCGGAGUUACUGGGCGUAAAGGGUGCGUAGGCGGUCCUAUAAGUAUGGUGUGAAAUCUCCCCGGCUUAACUGGGAGGGUGCGCUAUAGACUGUGGGACUAGAGUGUGGGAGAGGAAAGUGGAAUUCCUGGUGUAGCGGUGAAAUGCGUAGAUAUCAGGAGGAACACCGGUGGUGUAAACGGCUUUCUGGACCAUAACUGACGCUGAGGCACGAAAGCGUGGGGAGCAAACAGG
Molecule: ribosomal RNA, 254 nt
Filed under: uncultured bacterium
Lineage: Bacteria
Description: partial 16S ribosomal RNA
Rfam family: Bacterial small subunit ribosomal RNA
Source: RNAcentral